Molecule: long non-coding RNA, 1613 nt
Organism: Equus asinus (donkey)
Lineage: Eukaryota; Metazoa; Chordata; Mammalia; Perissodactyla; Equidae
Source: Ensembl
AAGUGAGUUUUGCCUAUCCCCUUCCAUCAGAAUCACCUGGUGAGCUUGUUAGAGAACAGAUUCUCAGGAACCACACCAGGAUUUCGGAUUUAGAAUUGAUGGUGGUUGAGCCUAGACUCUGUAUUUUUAACAAGCUCCCUAUGUGAUUCUUUUUCAUGCUAAAAUUUGAGAGCAUCUGGCCUCCAGAUCAAGUGCAAACACUUCAGAAUUGCUGGUAAGUACCAUCUGACUCUGGCUUAGCGCCUUCUUUCCCUCAAUUCUUUCUACUCUUUCACCUCCCCUCUGCACUCCAGCUUUUUGGAGGGAGAUUUCAUGUUUGCUGGCAUCUCUACCAAUAAGCACACCAAUCGAAGUGGAAUUCAAAAAGGCUGUUUUGGUCACUUACCAAACCUCUCAUCAGAGAAAUGUUGGAAGAAGUAAUUUAAUUGAAAUCUCUAUAUGAUGAGAAGACUGUGCUCAGAGAUGGUAAGAAACUCAGAAGAGGCACCUGGUGAAUAGGAGAUGUCUGGAACUUGAAUGCAGGAAGAAGUGGAUACUUUCAACGGGAGAAACUCGAGCAUCAGAUUUGCUCCUUGGAGCAUUAAUAAAAGGGCUCAGUUAGCCUCAUCUCAUUAUUUUACUAUGAGUAUUGACUUUGGCCUAGAGUCAUGUAUAGAUAAAAUGGUGCAAGGGCUUGUCCUAAGUGAUUACUCAGAAUUACAAAUCAUUUCACGUGUAACUGAAUACUGCCGUCUAGCUGGCACCCUGCCCCUUGCUUCUCCCCCUCCCCUUCCUCUAAUAGGAGCGCAAAUCCAGCUUUGUCUGAAGAGGCAAUUAAUCUUAUUCACUGAAAGCCGAAUUUUAAUUCACCAGCAUGUGGAGGACAUAUUUGCCUAUCACACAGAAUUAGUUUAACAGAGAAUUUAGACAAAAAAGAUAUUGGAGGUCUUGGCAUUCUUUGGCAGGCAAAAUAUCUUGUAGGUACAUUCCUUUAUUAGCCAUCUACAUACUACAAAUAAGCUUCUUGUAAUAAUAACUCUAUUAGGGUAAACUGGGUUUAUUUUGUAUUUGAAAGUGGCUGAUUACAUUUUAUUUCAUGUAAAGAAACCCACAAGAUAUGUGUGUUUUGGAGGAAAAUGAACAUAAGGUGAGAGAGAUAAAUUUUAGUUUUCUAGAGAUUCUAAAAGGCUAUUAUUUUUAAGGGCACAGUUUAAAGAUGAUCAGAAAAAUAAAGGGACACAUAAAAAUCCUAGACAGCCUACAUACAUCCAAAUCUAAUCCUGCAGAAGGGUAAGUGGUAAGGUAUGAGGUAGACACCAUUGCCAGCACCACACUAGGACUCUCAUGUGAAAUCUGUGAGGGCAAAUACCGGAUUUCCCCAGUGCUUCUGCUGUGCUCUAUUUUAAUUUUCCCCUGAGCAAGGCCUUAGUGUUUUAUCUGAAGUUUGUUUCACAUGUAGACAAAGUGUAAAAAAGAAAAACUUCCUGAAGCAGUUUCUUAAUUCAAGAGAUUUAGACAGGAAUAUGAUUUAAUGCAUGUCCAUGCUUGGUUAGAUAUCAAAUUCCCCUAAGUUCAGAAAACACAUGGCUCUGUUUUGUCCUUCUAUUUAACAUGGCGCUCGUCAAAGGCUACCU